UCAGAUCAGCUCUUUUGCCAACAAUUGGGCUGCCUUUGUAAACACAGCCUAAGUAAAAUGAACUGUUGUAAAUAAUCAGCCACACGAGGAAUCAUAAGCAUUGCUACCGAAACAAGAUGACAGUGACAGUGUGCCCAUGGAUUCCAACACUAGAAAAGAAACCCACCAUGACCCAUUCCUGAAAGUUAGGCCACAACCUUCUGCAUCCCAGAACAUCCUUGCCCUUUUCAUCAAUCCUCUGACAAGCAGUACCCUUCAUUUAGCCAGUUUACCUCACCUGAAAUAAUAGUCGGGGGCCGGUUACCCCAAAAAAACAUCUUAAGGAUAAAUUGGUUCUAAGAUUAACUUCGCCUUAAAAUGCUUCUGGGAAAAUAGGCCCAGGUUGACUUGUAUUUGACAGAACUACAUUUUUGAAUAUGAUACUGCAACGCCACCCUCAGUCUGAUGAAUGUAUUACAUCUGCCAGAGAGGCGCUUAAUUGAAUGGUGUGUUUUCAAAGUGCCACAGGUGAUUCUGAUGGCAAUAAGUAAAUAGCAAGAACAACUAGCGACUUUUCAGAAUCGGCAGCAAUCGUGUUAAAAUAGUAUGCCUGGCAGUUACUGGUCAAUGACAUUUAGGAAGUCUGCUUCGUUUCCACCUACAAAAAAAGUUACAGAAAUGUUAAGAUUUCAGAUAGAGCCAAACCACUUCACUAUGCCUAUGUUUUGCAACGUCUUCGUGUGGUUCAUGGGAUAAAAACUGUCGGAAGAAAGCGAGAGGAGUUACUGGUGAAACACGGGUGUUUGGAGUGCCGCUGGAGAGUUUGCCACAGUGCUAUCGUAAACUCAUACAUCUCCUUGGCUAAGCUGGACCACUGGGAAGCCUGCCUAUCCACAGCUCUCCCUUGUGAUGUGGCCAGCCUACUGAAGCUGUUCUGUCUGGAGCUUCCAUAACCUCCCCCCACACCCCCUCCUAGACAUCCACUCUGCCCUGCUAAAGGCCCAGUUACUGCUCACUGUGGAGUAGAGGACCUCGGGCCUCCCAACUGCUGUCCUGCCUACUGCCUGACAAGAACUGUGCCUUCCUCACACUUUUUCCAUUUCCUCUCAAAGGUCUCCCGCAGGUGUGCUGAGAACAGUGACUAGUAACCUGGCUGUGGUCUAUGCCCCGAGCCACAGCCUGCUUCGCCAGGUCAGGCUCCAGUCCCUCAUCCCUGUUGGCCAGGUCAGGCUCCACCCCAGUGAUGACAGAGCUGCAGAGUACAGGGCAAAAAUAAUGGAUUCGUAGAAACGUUGGGUGUUUUUCAGCCAAAAGGCUGAGUGACGUGUCCGCCUGUCUCCUGGUCUGGGGAAAGCUGUACCGAACCCCCCUGGAAGAGCAGGAAGCUGUACCGAACCCCCCUGGAAGAGCAGGAAGCUGUACCGAACCCCCCUGGAAGAGCAGGAAGCUGUACCGAACCCCCCUGGAAGAGCAGGAAGCUGUACCGAACCCCCUGGAAGAGCAGGAAGCUGUACCGAA
Long non-coding RNA from Oncorhynchus gorbuscha (pink salmon), 1497 nucleotides. RefSeq lists it as uncharacterized. The record is from RefSeq and is a predicted model, not a curated record. Lineage: Eukaryota; Metazoa; Chordata; Actinopteri; Salmoniformes; Salmonidae. The transcript has 4 exons.